AUAUUCCACAUUACCGUCUUCCAAAUAUAACACGGACUUCCCUAGAGAAACUCUCAUAGGAAUAAAAGGAGAACUAAUAAAAGUAAUGCUUAGUAAAAUUAUUGUUGGCAGUGCUUUUCUCUAAACUCACAGGACCACCCUCAAAACAAAUGGCAAGCAGCAAGAGUCCGUCCCUGUGGAAGGAGAAAUUAGCUGCUAACCAGAGUCCCUGGGAAGUGAUCUUGCUGGGCUACAAAUGUGCAGAAUUGGUCUAGUUAAAUGGUCAUUCUCUAUCUCAUUUGAAAAAAAAACUUUUUAAAAAAGAAUCAGGGAUAAUAGCACUGGCUUGCGGCUUUCACAGUAAGUGGUUAACUAUAGAGAUGGAAGAAUGAUGAGAACCACAGAAUCAGCUGCAAGGUUGGGUCUAGGGAUUCGAUUUUAGACUUACUCUGGGAAAUCCGAGCAUCAUAAAUUCUAGAUACUAAAAGAGUUGGGAAGGCCUGAAACUUUCAGUUCUGUCGUUUCUUUUCCAGUUUUCCCUUUUGCCUGUCUUCCCCAUCCCUAUCUUUCUCUCAAUGUAAGGAAUAUCUCACAGAGUGUUGGUCUGGGAGGAGUUGCUCUUCUCUGAUAAGGUUCCUUGUCUUUUGGGUAAGUUUUUAGAUGCUCUGAUUUCUUGUUUUCCUUUUUUUUCUUUUUAGGGCUGCACCUGUUGCAUAUGGAAGUUCCCAGAUUAGGGGUAAAAUCAGAGCUGCAGCUGCCGGCCUAUACCACAGCCACAGCAACGCCAGAUCCAGGCCACACCUGUGACCUACCCCACAGCUCAUGGAGUUCCCAUUGUGGCUCAGUGGUUAACGAAUCCGACUAGGAACCAUGAGGUCGUGGGUUCGAUCCCUGGCUUUGCUCAGUGGUUUAAGGAUCCCACGUUGCCGUGAGCUGUGGUGUAGGUUGCAGACGUGGCUCGGAUCCUGCAUUGCUGUGGCUCUGGUGUAGGCCAGCGGCUAUGGCUCUGAUUCGACCCCUAGCCUGGGAACCUCCAUAUGCCGCGGGAGCAGCCCAAGAAAUGGCAAAAAGACAAGAAAAAAAACAUGUGAAGGAUAUUUGUGAGUGUGUGUGGGGGGCACUGGAGGACACAGUAAACACAUUUAGAAAAUUUCAUAAAAAUGUGAACAAUUACAAAAGGGAUAGUGGGAGUUAGAAUAAAAAGGAGAAGACUGAUUUAAGGGAUAUUUUAGUGGAGAACUGUUAGGGCUUAUUGACUCUCUGGAUGUGGAAAAUGAAGGAAAGGAAAGUGUUAAUCAUGCUUGAUUGCUACGUGGAUCCCAUUCACUAGAAAAAGCGUACCAGUCAGAGAUGGUAAGUCAUGACGCAUUAACAAACACUCCAAAUCACAGAGACUUAACCCCGCAAAUGUCUAUUUCUUGUGUAGGCAGUUUGGCAGGGGGAUUUGUGCAUCAUAGUUACUCAGACUCAGAUUGAGUGGGGUUACUAUGACGCUCAUAUCUCAACAUUCCUCUGCUAAGUACUGUCAGAACGUGGAGAAUCACACACCAGCUCUUGUGUUUUCAUGGAAGCGAUAGACGUCCAUUAAUCUGUUUAUAACUUUGUAGCACAGCCAUACUUAUCGUUAGUGAGUAGGGACUUGUGACCUUCUCCAUGCAUAGAACCACAAGAGAACAAGAUACUGGUGACUAUGAGUGGUACCCAGCACCACAGGAGGAAUAGGAGAAGCAGACAAAUGUGAUGGUGAUAGCAGAGAUGGGAAAGAUGGUGGAGGUUGGUAUACUGAGGGCUGGGGCAGCGUGUGGAGGUAAUGAGUUCAUUGUACAUGGUGAAUUGGGAUUCACUUGAGACACAAUAAGUUACAGCAUCCAGAUAAAAAUAUAUGUGGCACGAUAUAGCUUAGGAAAGAGAGCUAGUGGGAGAUCAUGAUUUUGAGUUGUUAGAUAUUAUAGUACUUAAAGUUGCAGGAUUAUCUGGAAACUUACAGGGUGGACAGAAGUAUGUCAAGGGUAAAAGGAGACAGAACAGGAAUAAGGCUUUGGAAAACUCCAACAUUUCAGGUGCAAAUAGCUAGAGAAAAAAGCAGAAAAAGAUUGAGCAUCAAUAGCGAUACGGAAAAUAUAAAAUACAUGAUGCCAAAUUUAAAAAAUAAGAACGUAGAGGUAUGCACAUUUUCCAUCUUUGCUUGGGUAAAAAUAAAGGAUUAAACUAUAAUUUUGCUGCAUGUGAUGUCCAGCAAGCACGUUGCACCUGGGUACAUGCAGUUCCACUGAGGUAACCUUGAAACAAUUCUGUCUGCCAAUCCGUCAGCAGUAGAACAGAACUAAAAAGAAUUAAAUAGCUCACACAGUGAGGGAAGAAAUCUAGUUAAGCUGGGUUUCUAAGUGAUCCCUGUCUGACAUACCUCAAACUUGGGAAGUCUUUGGCUUUCACGGUGUGGAGACAGAAGACUAAAGAACAGCUUGUCUUUUUGGUGUAAUGAUUACAGAAACUACAAGAGAAGUGAACUUUCAAAGUUAAGCUUGUGAGAGCCUCCAAAAACGAUCCUUGCUGUUAUCAAAAAGCAGCUACUUUGCCUGGCUGAGAGCCCAGCACCAGAAGUGGUCAUACAGUCUAGUAGGAUAAGCCAAAGUUCUGUGAUUUAUUUUUAUUUAUUUAUUUAGUCUUUUUAGGGCUGCAUUUGUGGUAUAUGUAAGUUCCCAGACUAGGGGUCAAAUCAAAGCAGUAGCUGCCAGCCUACAUCACAGUCACAGCAACACUGGAUCUGAGCCAUAUCUGCGACUUACACCACAGCUCACGGCAGCAUUGGAUCCUUAACCCACUGAGCGAAGCCAGGGAUAAGACCAUGUCCUCAUGUAUACUAGUUGGAUUUGUUACAACUGAACCAUGAUGGGAACUCCCAAAGGUCUGUGAUUUAAAUGAAGAUGAAGGUUCUCAGAGCUGGGAACCUAGAAAAAAUUGAAUCAUAAGAUCAACCGAUUGUGUUUGUGAUUCCUGGACUGAGACUUUAUUUUGAAGAGGUUAUUCACUGCGCAACAGGUAAACCUAAAGGAUUCUUGGAUAACUGGUCCAAGGCAAGAUCCUUUGGUGACUCCACCCAAAAACUCCCUCUCUUGGUCCUGGGAGAGGAAGACCUUCUAUUUGCUUGUUGGGAAUGGCUGUUAGUUUUGUAGAUAUAAUCUUAGUAUUGUAAAAUCGAGGAUGCACACUGCUGAAAUGAAAGAGGAGUCAUAAGGAAGGGGAGAGAUGCCUGUGAGUGGUGAGCUUUCACAAAAAGCAUGGGAAGUGGAUGCUAGACAGAGCUGGGGUGAAACCUUUGGUUUUUCUUGGGGAUCAUUGAUUAUUGGUUACCUCUGUCCCAUGAAGGUCAUUCCGACAUGGGGACUAGGAACUUGGGAGAAGGCCAAGAAGAUGGAAUGCUUUGAAGCAAAGAGAGGGAGUUUUCCUCUGUUUGGAAUGUGUUGGCUUGAGGAAGAGAACAGCAGAAGGAAAAGUAUCAUCCUCCAACCAAGCAGCAUAGGCAAUGGGGAGAUUGUCUCUAGAUGGAAAAUUGGAACCAAAAGUGGAGAAGGCAAAAUUCUAACUGAAGCAGUCUUUUUAAAAAAAGUACAGUUGAUUUAACAAUAAUAGAAAAAAUAAAAAUCUUUAAAAUAUAAUUGAUUUACAGUGCUAUGCCAAUUUCUACAGCAAAGUAAUUCAGUUAUACAUAUAUACACUCCUUUUAUUAUCUCCCAAGAGAUUGGAUAUAGCUCCCUGUUCUGUACAGUAGGACCCUAUUGCUUAUCCAUUCUAAAUGUUUGCCUCUACUAAUCCCAAAAUGAACCAGUCUUAAGAACAGACUGGUGACUGGGUCCAGAGACUCAGUUUUAUUUUCAGACUUUGCUUUUCCCCAGGUCUUCAUAGAUGAAUCUAUGGUUUGUCCACAGCUAUGGUUUAAAAUUCCAGCCUGGGUUCAUACCCCAGUUAGCCAGAGACAGGAUGUGUAGCAGUAAUCUUGGACUCUUUCCCACAUGUUUCUUCUUAACCCACACACAGGAACAGAGAGUAAAGUCUGGGUCCUUGUGGCCCAGUUAUGAUGGUUGGUUUCUCAUCUUUCUCUUGGCAGUUUUGUUGCUGUCAAGAAAAUGUGCCAUCGUCUUCCUAGUUGCCAUGAACUGCUUGGUAAUAUGUUCUGGUUUCCCGAACACCUUGAAUUGCCCAGGAGAGAUAUUUAAGCUGGGACUUUGAUGCUGGUGUGUUGGAUAAUUUUUUGUUCUCUGUCUGUAUCUUUGUGGUCCAGGUCUUUGCUCUGGUCAUUGCUGCAGAAACCAGCUGCUGCAAAAAUUGACUACCAGGAUUUUGCUCCCACUGCACUGUCUACUUUUCCUUUUUACCUUGGAGAUCUUUUGCCACCACCAUGUUUAGCAUUUUUGGGGACCUGGCUGGGCCAUCCUGAUGCACAUGCAGACUUGGAAGUGUGUUAGACGUCUUUGACAGAGUUCUUUGUUAAAUUUAUGUCUUAUAUGACCUAAUAAAUCUUCAGCUGCACUGUGGAGUUCUUGCUCUUUGCCCUAGAAUUUUACUGCUACUGUUGUGCAGGA
Molecule: long non-coding RNA, 4559 nt
Filed under: Sus scrofa (pig)
Lineage: Eukaryota; Metazoa; Chordata; Mammalia; Artiodactyla; Suidae
Description: lncRNA (ENSSSCG00050038186.1)
Source: RNAcentral